RNAcentral lists this ribosomal RNA (109 nucleotides) under uncultured bacterium. RNAcentral's name for it is "partial 16S ribosomal RNA". It matches the Rfam family "Bacterial small subunit ribosomal RNA", at positions 1373 to 1482 of the family's 1533-position model. The record is from RNAcentral.
CCCGGGCCUUGUACACACCGCCCGUCACACCACGGGAGUCGAUUGUACCUGAAAUCGGUGGCUAACCUUCGGGAGGCAGCCGCUUAUGGUAUGGUCGGUAACUGGGGUG